GGAAGGUUAUCCUAAUUGGUAAGGAACCGGUCUUGAAAACCGGCGCCGUAAGGCUUCAGAGUUCGAAUCUCUGAUCUUCCGCCA
Molecule: transfer RNA, 84 nt
Filed under: Fusobacterium sp.
Lineage: Bacteria; Fusobacteriati; Fusobacteriota; Fusobacteriia; Fusobacteriales; Fusobacteriaceae
Description: tRNA-Ser
Rfam family: tRNA
About the family: Transfer RNA (tRNA) molecules are approximately 80 nucleotides in length. Their secondary structure includes four short double-helical elements and three loops (D, anti-codon, and T loops).
Source: RNAcentral